AACGCAAAUCGCGCUCGAGGCCUCGGCCGAGAGCAUGCCUGCCUCAGCGUCUUUUCCACUCCUCCCCCAUCCGAUCAUGCGAUUGGUCGGGAGGGGGGAGCUGGUCGUUUCGAGCUCGCCUCGAAUCGGCUGAAAGGCAGAAGCGCCACCCGCCUCGCGAAGGGUGACCGAAAGGUGGCAGCCUUCGGGCCGGUCCGAUCGGUUGCCUGGGGUCGAGUGUGCGCUGUCGACCGGAGAACACACCAACUCUUUGACCUGAGUUCAGGCAAGGCUACCCGCUGAACUUAA
RNAcentral lists this unclassified non-coding RNA (288 nucleotides) under uncultured fungus. Its description in RNAcentral is "partial contains 5.8S ribosomal RNA, internal transcribed spacer 2, and large subunit ribosomal RNA". Lineage: Eukaryota; Fungi. The record is from RNAcentral.